GCUAUAGUUCAGAAGAAGAGGCAAGAGAAACAGACAAGUAUAUUUGGGGACAAUGCAGGAGGCAGAGAGACUAACCAGAACUCCUCUAAAACAAAAGGCCUCUUCAGGAGCCACUAUGUUCCGGGUUUAAGACUGCAGUUUUCUUUGAAUUCUUGCUCUACUAUCACUGGUGUACCAUCUUCAACAAGAACCCGUUGGGGAACAAGAAUCCGUUACUGAUCUUCACUGCACCUGUAUCAUAAGGAAGCAUUUACAACAAGUGGAAUAAUUUUAAGAUAUUGUCUUUCUCACCUAAGAAUUUCAUGGUUUAAAAAGAUAAUUGUUGGGGCUGGGGCUGUAGCUCAGUGGUAUAGUGCUUGCCUAGCAUGAGUGAGACACUGGGUUUGAUACUCAGCACCACAUUAAAAAAUAAAUAAAUAAAGUUAUAAAAAAUGUAUAUUUCAAAAAGCAAUUGUUCAGAAUCAAGUAUUGAGCUUCAAUAGCAGGAGGAAGAAAUCUUCAAUUGGAAAGAAUACAAAUUAUUUUUAUGACAUUACAUUUGAUCUGUUAAAAUUUCAUCAUGCACUUCAAAACCAAAUGUGUCUUUGCCUUGUGGUUCCCUCAUAUGUCUAUUUUCAUAAUCACUCAGAAAUUAUUUAGAAAACUAGCAUAAAUACUUAAUAACAGAGUAUUUAGUGGUGAAGGCAUUCCAUAAGAAGUACAUUUUUGUUUUCAUCAGUCAUGUUUUAUAGAAACUUUAAAAAAAUUAAGAAAUUUAUAAAUUAAAGUACUUCUGACUUCAGUAGGUCUGAAAACUAAAACCUUAAUAUAUCUGUUAGAAGCCACACAACAUUUGUUAUUAUGGGAAAAUCCUGUGGAUAGUACCCAGUUCCUCUCUCCAGUGAAACAGGAAAUAUAAUUUGGUCAAGAAAAAAUAAUAAGGCAAACUACUACUGAUGAAAACAGUUUUAUAAUACAGAAAAAUCUGCAUUCAUCAAGAUGAAGAAGCAUCCAGUGAUAUAGCCCAUAUUUUAUUUCCUUUGGGAGAAGUUUUAAGAUUAUAAAAUAGAUACUUAAAUAAUGUACAAUUUUAAAAUUCAGUACUGACCAAUGUCUAUUACAUCAAAC
Molecule: non-coding RNA, 1107 nt
Organism: Ictidomys tridecemlineatus (thirteen-lined ground squirrel)
Lineage: Eukaryota; Metazoa; Chordata; Mammalia; Rodentia; Sciuridae
Source: RefSeq, a predicted model, not a curated record